CAUGCAAGUCGAGGGGCAGCGCGGUGUAGCAAUACAUUGGCGGCGACCGGCGCACGGGUGAGUAACGCGUAUGCAACCUACCUACAACAGGGGCAUAACCCGGCGAAAGUCGGACUAAUACCGCAUAAAACAGGGGCUCCGCCUGGAGCUAUUUGUUAAAGAUUUAUCGGUUGUAGAUGGGCAUGCGUUCCAUUAGCUAGUUGGAGAGGUAACGGCUCACCAAGGCAACGAUGGAUAGGGGAACUGAGAGGUUUGUCCCCCACACUGGAACUGAGACACGGACCAGACUCCUACGGGAGGCAGCAGUGAGGAAUAUUGGUCAAUGGGCGAGAGCCUGAACCAGCCAAAUCGCGUGAAGGAAGACUGCCUUAUGGGUUGUAAACUUCUUUUAUACAGGAAUAAAAAAGCUUACGAGUAGGCUAUUGCAUGUACUGUAUGAAUAAGCAUCGGCUAACUCCGUGCCAGCAGCCGCGGUAAUACGGAGGAUGCGAGCGUUAUCCGGAUUUAUUGGGUUUAAAGGGUGCGCAGGCGGGAGCUUAAGUCAGCGGUGAAAUCUGGUCGCUUAACGAUCACACUGCCGUUGAAACUGGGUUUCUUGAGUGUAGAUGAAGUAGGCGGAAUUCGUUGUGUAGCGGUGACAUGCUUAGAUAUAACGAGGAACUCCGAUUGCGUAGGCAGCUUACUAAGCUAUAACUGACGCUCAAGCACGAAAGCGUGGGGAUCAAACAGGAUU
RNAcentral lists this ribosomal RNA (733 nucleotides) under uncultured bacterium. RNAcentral describes it as "bacterial SSU rRNA". It matches the Rfam family "Bacterial small subunit ribosomal RNA", at positions 54 to 779 of the family's 1533-position model. The record is from RNAcentral.